Molecule: long non-coding RNA, 441 nt
Filed under: Piliocolobus tephrosceles (Ugandan red Colobus)
Lineage: Eukaryota; Metazoa; Chordata; Mammalia; Primates; Cercopithecidae
Description: lncRNA (ENSPTEG00000023728.1)
Source: RNAcentral
UUUUUUUUUUUUUUUUUUUUUUACACAACACAAUGGUGACAUUCAGCACAAUGGUGGACCCUCAACGGUUUGAUGAUAUUACAAGUAGUACAUACAUUCUGUUAUAUAAGAACACUUUAGGAUAUAAUAAAGCCUUACACUUUUCUAAAUUUAUUAAAAUGUUAUCAUACUCUUCAAUCAUACUUUCGUUUUCCAUAUUUCUAUUAAAAUUAUUACUAGGGCUCAGAAUUAGUACAACCAAAAGAAUCAGCAUGUACAUUUACAUGUAGUGAAAGUCUUUUUUUAUUAUUAUAAGACCCAGGAUCUUUAAAAUAUAAAGAACACCACAAAACUAAGUACAAUAACCAUAGUGUUAUCCAUAUAAUAGCUUCGGUUUUGUAUUUAUUUAUUAUAGUAAACGAUUUGGUAAUAUUAAAAUAAAUAAGUAAAUUUAAAUAUGCA